UACGGAGGGUGCAAGCGUUGUCCGGAUUUAUUGGGUUUAAAGGGUGCGUAGGUGGCUUGUUAAGUCCGGGGUGAAAGCCCACAGCUCAACUGUGGAACUGCCCUGGAUACUGGCGAGCUUGAGUCCAGACGAGGUUGGCGGAAUGGAUGCUGUAGCAGUGAAAUGCAUAGAUAGCAUCCAGAACCCCGAUUGCGUAGGCAGCUGACUAGGCUGGUACUGACACUGAGGCACGAAAGCGUGGGGAGCGAACAGG
RNAcentral lists this ribosomal RNA (253 nucleotides) under uncultured bacterium. Its description in RNAcentral is "partial 16S ribosomal RNA". It matches the Rfam family "Bacterial small subunit ribosomal RNA", at positions 524 to 776 of the family's 1533-position model. The record is from RNAcentral.